This 1234-nucleotide ribosomal RNA is filed under the name metagenome. Its description in RNAcentral is "bacterial LSU rRNA". It matches the Rfam family "Bacterial large subunit ribosomal RNA", at positions 1564 to 2808 of the family's 2925-position model. The record is from RNAcentral.
UGAAUACGAGAUGCUACGGCGUCGAAGCAGUCUAUGUCAUACUUCCAAGAAAAGCUCGCACUGUCAUAAACAAAUAAUGCCUGUACCAUAACCGACACAGGUGGGUAGGUAGAGUAUACUAAGGGGCGCGAGAUAACUCUCUCUAAGGAACUCGGCAAAAUGACUCCGUAACUUCGGGAGAAGGAGUGCCUUAUUUAUAAGGUUGCAAUAACAAGAUCCAAGCAACUGUUUAUCAAAAACACAGGUCUCCGCUAAGUCGUAAGACGAUGUAUGGGGGCUGACGCCUGCCCAGUGCCAGAAGGUUAAAGAAGUUGGUUAGCAUUCGCGAAGCUGAUAACUGAAGCCCUGGUGAACGGCGGCCGUAACGAUAACGGUCCUAAGGUAGCGAAAUUCCUUGUCGGGUAAGUUCCGACCCGCACGAAAGGCGUAAUGAUUUGGAUACUGUCUCGGAGGGGGGCUCGGUGAAAUAGACUUGUCUGUGAAGAUGCGGACUACCUGCACCAGGACAGAAAGACCCUAUGAAGCUUUACUGUAACUUGAGAUUGAAAUUGGACUUUACUUGCGCAGUAUAGGUGGGAGGCGUUGAUAAUAUUCUUGCGGGAUUAUUUGAGCCAUCAGUGAGAUACCACUCUUGUAAUGUUAGAUUUCUAACUUUGUAUCAUUAUCUGGUCAAAGGACAGUUUCAGGCGGGCAGUUUGACUGGGGCGGUCGCCUCCUAAACGGUAACGGAGGCGCACAAAGGUUUCCUCUGAACGGGUAGAAAUCGUAUCUAGAGUGUAAAGGCAUAAGGAAGCUUGACUGUGAGACCUACAAGUCGAGCAGGGACGAAAGUCGGUCUUAGUGAUCUGACGGUGCUGAGUGGAAAGGCCGUCACUCAACGGAUAAAAGUUACUCUAGGAUAACAGGCUGAUCUCCCCCAAGAGUUCACAUCGACGGGGAGGUUUGGCACCUCGAUGUCGGCUCAUCGCAUCCUGGGGCGGUAGUACGUCCCAAGGGUUGGGCUGUUCGCCCAUGAAAGCGGUACGCGAGCUGGGUUCAGAACGUCGUGAGACAGUUCGGUCCAUAUCCGGUGUAGGCGUUAGAAUAUUGAGAGGAGCCUUCUUUAGUACGAGAGGACCGAGAAGGACAUACCUCUGGUGUACCAGUUAUCGUGCCAACGGUAAACGCUGGGUAGCUAUGUAUGGAGUGGAUAACCGCUGAAAGCAUCUAAGUGGGAAGCCCACCUCAAGAUAAG